This is a long non-coding RNA of Planococcus citri (citrus mealybug), 1747 nucleotides long. RefSeq lists it as uncharacterized. The record is from RefSeq and is a predicted model, not a curated record. The transcript is spliced from 4 exons. NCBI's taxonomy places the organism in Eukaryota, Metazoa, Arthropoda, Insecta, Hemiptera, Pseudococcidae.
AGUUGAUAACUGAUAAGCGAUAUCAUAUUAUUCAUAUUAUUAUUCUUAUACAUGAAUAAUUAAUUUAUUUCUAUAAAUUUAAAUUAAUUAAUACAAUUUUAUUUUAAAUACUUACCUACCUACAUUUUCCAAUAUUUUUUAUGCGAAUAAGUUUAGUUGACUGAUAGCCAGUAAUUUCAACUUUCAAGCCUUCGUCUAACUGUGCUUUUAUCAACAACAACUCAACAUGUGAUUAUAUCGAUUCAUUUGGAUAUAAAUCAAUUCGAUGAAAUGAGUGAAUCGAUACCCGUCAUCAUAUACUUAGGUAAAUUAUCAAGAAUAUACUUAACAUGAUCAAAACCGUAUCUGAUGUGUACGACCUCACCUAUCCUAGUCCGAUCACCCUGCGAGAAAUCUCAUCUAUCACAGUUGCGGCGGAUUUAUGGCGUAAAGAACGUUUGAAGAAGAACAUCACGCUGGAAAAUUUGAUUCCCUAUUUGCCAUCAGCGAUUUACAAUUUACUGGAGGAAUACAACCGUACAUUGAGAGACUCAAUUUGGUCAUGGCAGCAAUACCACUCAUACUGUCGAGUAUUCAAUUGUAGUUGGACGGAGAUUUUGAGCCGAUUCAACGAUUUCGCUUGGGACUGGGAUGGUACCAUUCACGAAGAGCUGCCUACAAACAGUCUAUUACCAAGACGUGCAUGUUGAAUAAAUUGCAUACUCGACAGUUUCAAGGUGUGUACUGUGUUUUAAAUUUUAUCAACUAAUUAAUCAAUUUUUUCAUCUUCAAAUUGAGAUAUCGAGAAGAUGGCUUGUUGGAUCAAAUAAUGAAACAAAUAAAUACACAAGAAGUUUGUUUUGCACUUAAGAUAUAUUUUAUUCAAUAUUACUCGUAUGUACAAUGUUUGCAUAAAAUAUUUUUACCUACACAAGCUUAUGUUUUAUACUUAAUUUUAAAACAUAGAUACCUACUUAAUUAAAUGGAUGUUUCAUCAUUAAUAUAUUCUAACAUUUUAUAGUGUCCAUAGGCUAAACUAUCAAUAUUAUUAUAAAAGUAACGCUUAUCACAAUAAUUAAAAAGAGCUCGUUUUUGUUGUACAAUAGUAAAAAUUUCGUGAUUGAUAGAUUUGAAAAGUAGUUGAUCUUUUCUACAUGUGAUGUUUUCAAAUAAACAUUGGUAAAAAUCUUCGAAACUCAUUUUUUUCACUAUGUCUGUUUUUACUCCCUUUAUUUUUUUAAUAUUGUCUUCUUUAUUUAAUAAAUCUAAACUGUAAACUUUUGGACAUAGGGAGAUGAAUCGUUUACAUUGAUCAGGAUAAAGUUCAUCUUUAAAAUAUCCAGGGACUGUGUUAUUCAAAUUUGUGUAACAUGGAUGAUUAAUAGGGUAAUUGCUAGUAUCAAAAUAUUGUUCACAAGUUUUUUCAAUGUAUGGAUAAACAUCGUCUGUCUGUACUGAUAAUAUGAAACUAUCAGUAUCCAUGUAUAAUAAUUGUGGGAAUGGAAGACCUUUAAAAAUUUCAGGUAAAUUUUCAUAAUAAAAUUGAUACAUAAAAUUUCGAGAUAGUUCCAAAAUACUUAUACCAACAUAAAUGGGCUUGUUUAAAAUAACCUUAGACUUGAAUGAAUGAACACCUACAAGAUUUUCUGAGAAAAUUACUGAACUUUUGAAUGAGGGCUUUUUAAUUGCAGUAUUCAAUUUUUUUUCAUUACAAAUUAAUCUGAAAUUCAUGUAUUUACGUUGAUUUUCUAUAGUUUUUCCAAAUACA